GUUGUUAUUUUUUUUUUAGUGCAGUCGUUUGAGGAUAUUUCUGAAAGAAUUAAUUAUGAACUUUUAUCCUAUAAAAUUCAGCCAAAUUUAAAUACCAAUAUACAAGAACACGAAGCCUCCUACAUGGCUAAUUCUUCUAUUUGCAUACAAAAUAACAGUAUUUUAGGAGAUGACCCUUUUUUUCCUGAAAUUUUCAUCUUUGAAAUCUGAAUUAUUAAGAAGUUCUGGGGUUUUGUUGUUGCUUUUUUAAAAUAAUUUAUAUUUUGUUUGACGGAAAAGUAUCACACAGAAAAAGGAAAGCAUUGUUUUUUAAUCUAGUUAAAUAUUGUAUCACUAUUUUAUAGUCCAUGAGGACAUUUUCUAUACUUCAAAUUUUCUCUUAAUUCAUAUACAUACAGGUGGAACAUUUGUUGCAUUUUGUUACUAUAAACAAUAUUUUUUUAAGGUCAUUUUCAGGUUCAGGAUAUCAAAUUUUAAUUGCAUGAUAAAUAUUCCAUUAGCCUCUCUCUGUAAUAUAACUUGAAUUUUAAACAGGUGAAAUGUUUUGAAAAUCUGAUAAAAUCUUUAAUACAUUAAGAUAUAUAUUAUUAAUUUGCAUAUUGCAUCAGAAGCGCAGAAAUGAAAUGAAAUGACUCGAAGAAAGUAAUUUAGCCUUUAAUUGGAAGUCACACAGCAGUAUGAUACACCUGAACGAUUUUGCUUAGUCAUUCCAUUAUGUUAAUAUCCCUGUGGAUUUCUCUUUUGUAAUUAUUAUUUUGAUAUAGCAUAUUAAAACAUUCAAAGGUCUUUCGUGUUUCAUUUCUUUUCUAAAACCCUUAAACAAAUAAACCAAUAAAGCUUUUCAGGAUAAACUAAAAUGACUGUAAAAUGUGUGAAAUACUAAUUACUUGUAAAUAUUUGUUUACAGACUUAAGUUCACUAUUUAGCACUUAUAUUUGAAUAUAGUGUGUAAUGAGAAUCAGUGAAUGCUAAUGCAGUUAAAAAAUCCGGAUAAACAACUAGUUAUACACAAAAAUGAAAACCAACUUUUUGCCCCUGAACUGAACAAAUCUAUUAGAGGGACUGAUUACAAAGAUAUAAGGACUUUAGUGAUAGGGAACAUUGUCAUAGUACAAAAAGGGGAUGUCUUAUGCAGCUGGUCUUACUAAAAUCAACCUUUUCUGUUGGGUCAUGAUAUAACCAGAGGUAAUAGGGUAAAUUUGUCUUAUUCUGGUUGGUGGUAGCUAGUGAUAAUGAUUUUACCAGUAGUAGUUGAACUGAAAUUACCUUCUGGUGGGCGGCCUCAGAUGAUGAUACUUUUGGUAAAAUUGUUUUUUAGUGGUGGUGGCCUCAGGUGAUGAUUGUUUGGGUAAAAUUUCCUUUUGUAGUGGGUGGCACUGAAAAUGAUAAUGCUAUUGGAGGUGAUAUAGGACAAAUUGUUCUUUUGUGCUCGGUGGCCUCUGAUGAUGUUGAUUUUAUUAGAUAUGAUUGAUAGAAAAAUUUCCUUUCCUUGUGGAGUGGCCUCUGGUAGUAAUGAUCUUAUUAGAUGUGAUGAGGAAAAAUUGUGUGUUCUCUUGGGAUAUUGUUACAAGAGAUUAUCAGGGUAAAACUGUCUUUCUCUGGUGAGUGGGUUUAUAUGGUUGUUUUGGUUAGUGGACCCUAAUGAGUAUCUUAUUAGAGGUGAAGGAGAUAAAUAGUUGUUUUGGUUAGUGGACCCUAAUGAGUAUCUUAUUAGAGGUGAAGGAGAUAAAUAGUUGUUUUGGUUAGUGGACCCUAAUGAGUAUCUUAUUAGAGGUGAAGGAGAUAAAUUGUUGUUUUGGUUAGUGGACCCUAAUGAGUUUCUUAUUAGAGGUGAAGGAGAUAAAUUGUUGUUUUGGUUAGUGGACCCUAAUGAGUAUCGUAUAAGAGGUGAAGGAGAUAAAUUGUUGUUUUGGUUAGUGGACCCUAAUGAGUUUCUUAUUAGAGGUGAAGGAGAUAAAUUGUUGUAUUGGUUAGGGGACCCUAAUGAGUAUCUUAUUAGAGGUGAAGGAGAUAAAUAGUUGUUUUGGUUAGUGGACCCUAAUGAGUAUCUUAUUAGAGGUGAAGGAGAUGAAUUGUUGUUUUGGUUAGUGGACCCUAAUGAGUAUCUUAUUAGAGGUGAAGGAGAUAAAUUGUUGUUUUGGUUAGUGGACCCUAAUGAGUUUCUUAUUAGAGGUGAAGGAGAUAAAUUGUUGUUUUGGUUAGUGGACCCUAAUGAGCAUCUUAUAAGAGGUGAAGGAGAUAAAUUGUUGUUUUGGUUAGUGGACCCUAAUGAGUUUCUUAUUAGAGGUGAAGGAGAUAAAUUGUUGUUUUGGUUAGUGGACCCUAAUGAGCAUCUUAUUAGAGAUGAAGGAGAUAAAUUGUUCUUUUGGUUUGUGGACCCUAAUUAGUAUCUUAUAAGAGGUGAAGGAGAUAAAUUGUUGUUUUGGUUAGUGGACCCUAAAGAGUUUCU
This is a long non-coding RNA of Mytilus californianus (California mussel), 2449 nucleotides long. RefSeq lists it as uncharacterized. NCBI's taxonomy places the organism in Eukaryota, Metazoa, Mollusca, Bivalvia, Mytilida, Mytilidae. The transcript has 4 exons. The record is from RefSeq and is a predicted model, not a curated record.